CUACGGGGUGCUGCAGUAAGGAAUAUUGCGCAAUGGAGGCAACUCUGACGCAGCCAUGCCGCGUGCAGGAAGAAGGCCUUAUGGGUCGUAAACUGCUUUUAUUUAGGAAUAAACCCCCGAACGUGUUCGGGGCUGAAGGUACUAAACGAAUAAGCACCGGCUAACUCCGUGCCAGCAGCCGCGGUAAUACGGAGGGUGCAAGCGUUAUCCGGAUUUAUUGAGUUUAAAGGGUGCGCAGGCGGGCUAUUAAGUCAGUGGUGAAAUCCCGGGGCUCAACUCCGGAACUGCCAUUGAUACUGAUAGUCUUGAGUUUGGUUGAAGUGGGCGGAAUGUAGCAUGUAGCGGUGAAAUGCAUAGAUAUGCUACAGAACACCAAUCGCGAAGGCAGCUCACUAAGCCAAAACUGACGCUCAUGCACGAAAGCGUGGGGAUCAAACAGGAUUAGAUACCCGCGUAGUC
This 459-nucleotide ribosomal RNA is filed under the name uncultured bacterium. RNAcentral's name for it is "partial 16S ribosomal RNA". It matches the Rfam family "Bacterial small subunit ribosomal RNA", at positions 339 to 795 of the family's 1533-position model. The record is from RNAcentral.